Molecule: ribosomal RNA, 490 nt
Filed under: uncultured bacterium
Lineage: Bacteria
Description: partial 16S ribosomal RNA
Rfam family: Bacterial small subunit ribosomal RNA
Source: RNAcentral
AUUGAACGCUGGCGGCAGGCCUAACACAUGCAAGUCGAACGGUAACAGGAAGAAGCUUGCUUCUUUGCUGACGAGUGGCGGACGGGUGAGUAAUGUCUGGGAAACUGCCUGAUGGAGGGGGAUAACUACUGGAAACGGUAGCUAAUACCGCAUAAUGUCGCAAGACCAAAGAGGGGGACCUUCGGGCCUCUUGCCAUCGGAUGUGCCCAGAUGGGAUUAGCUAGUAGGUGGGGUAACGGCUCACCUAGGCGACGAUCCCUAGCUGGUCUGAGAGGAUGACCAGCCACACUGGAACUGAGACACGGUCCAGACUCCUACGGGAGGCAGCAGUGGGGAAUAUUGGACAAUGGGCGCAAGCCUGAUGCAGCUAUGCCGGGUGGAUGAAGAAGGCCUUCGGGUUGUAAAGUACUUUUAUGGGGGAGGAAGGGAGUAAAGUUAAUACCUUUGCUCAUUGACGUUACCCGAAGAAGAAGCACCGGCUAACUCCGUG